CCUACGGGGGGCAGCAGUGGGGAAUAUUGGACAAUGGGCGAAAGCCUGAUCCAGCCAUGCCGCGUGUGUGAAGAAGGCCUUCGGGUUGUAAAGCACUUUCAGUGGGGAAGAAAGCCUUGGGGCUAAUACCCUCGAGGAAGGACAUCACCCACAGAAGAAGCACCGGCUAACUCCGUGCCAGCAGCCGCGGUAAUACGGAGGGUGCGAGCGUUAAUCGGAAUUACUGGGCGUAAAGCGCGCGUAGGCGGUCUGAUAAGCCGGUUGUGAAAGCCCCGGGCUCAACCUGGGAACGGCAUCCGGAACUGGCAGGCUAGAGUGCAGGAGAGGAAGGUAGAAUUCCCGGUGUAGCGGUGAAAUGCGUAGAGAUCGGGAGGAAUACCAGUGGCGAAGGCGGCCUUCUGGACUAACACUGACGCUGAGGUGCGAAAGCGUGGGUAGCAAACAGGAUUAGAUACCCUAGUAGUC
This 465-nucleotide ribosomal RNA is filed under the name Vreelandella stevensii. RNAcentral describes it as "partial 16S ribosomal RNA". It matches the Rfam family "Bacterial small subunit ribosomal RNA", at positions 338 to 795 of the family's 1533-position model. The record is from RNAcentral. Lineage: Bacteria; Pseudomonadati; Pseudomonadota; Gammaproteobacteria; Oceanospirillales; Halomonadaceae.